This is a long non-coding RNA of Siniperca chuatsi (mandarin fish), 2952 nucleotides long. RefSeq lists it as uncharacterized. The record is from RefSeq and is a predicted model, not a curated record. Lineage: Eukaryota; Metazoa; Chordata; Actinopteri; Centrarchiformes; Sinipercidae. The transcript has 2 exons.
UUUAUCUGUUAUGUUUGUGGUUUUAGCUUUUGAUGCUGGAUUUACUCUGCCCCUGUAAUCCUGUUUAGUGGAAUCAACCGUAGAGUAUUUGUAGCGCAUUUAUUAUGAUCAGUCAGAGAUUUCAUUGAUGUGUAUGGGUGAGCAUAUGGCCUGUGAACGCCUCCAGGAUCCUUCCCCCAGAGCCAGUGUGUUAUUCCAGUAGUCCAGGCCAAUAAUUGAUCCAGGCCCAGCAGCAUCGUGCUACUGGCAGGUAGCCACAGUGGGUCUGACUGACCUUUGGCCCCAGGUCACUGCUUCUGGUCUUACUCGACUGGCUUUAAAAAGAGAUGAAAACUAUCAAUCACUCGCUGGAUGGAUGCACAUCAGAGGCGAUGCAUAAAUCAAUAUGCAGGAGAGGCUGUCUUUUUCUUUUCAAAUAAUAAAUCAUGCAGCUGUAUUUUUCUGGUGUUUCUGGAUUCUGUGCAGUCCAGCUGUUGCGUCAGAGAUGCCAGGCCGGGUCAGUGAGGACACUGAUUCACCAACUCACUCACAUACCACCCCGGUUGAGUUCCUGCACUGUGAGGCAGAAUUGUUUAACUUCAGUAUGAGGGACGACAGCAUGGCACCGCUUCAUAAACCACAGCUUCUCUUUGAUGUGUUAUUUUUUAUGGGAGAGGAAAGCCUCAUGGGUUGGGCCUUUCUCCUCCUUCACCACCACCACCACCACCUCCUCCUCCUCCUUUAACCCAGCUGGCAUCUGAAUUUCAGCAUACGUUGACCAAAGGUUGGGUGAGCUCAUCAAGAAGGAACGACACUGACGCGUGCAAAGUGAGUAUGACAACGUGACUGUACCUGCAAAUCAUUUACCAAGCGAGCGGAGGGUCAUUUGAAAGAGAGCAAAACCAAAGGGCAGCGCUAUUCACCGAGCUGCACGUGACUCCCGCUCUGCAUGGGAAACAUGGAGCUUGCUAACAUGUAAUUAGUUGUUACUAUUUUCACUCUGCAUCGCCCUGAAGCAGCACAGGGCUGUUGGUUGUACACCCAGUGCCAGGAAAGUUUGAGGCUGUCAGUAUGGCUUUUGAGUCUCUUCAACUUCAGCUAUUAACUUUCUGUAUUGGUCUGAGGAGAGACAGAGGGGGCUGUCCUGACCAGAGGACCCCUCCCUGAAAUGAAUGAAUGAUCCUUCUCACUGUGGGGAAACUUAAAAACAGCUAUCCCGAAUGAAAAAUAAGUUCAGUCAAGAGGCUUUUUUUAAGGAUACUGGCAAUAUCCUCAAAAAGGAAGACAUUGUACAGAAGCAAAGAAAAGUCAUGCUGUAUUCCCAAAACAGAUGUCGUUUUCAUUUUAAAGGGAAAAAGUAGACAGAGAGAGCUGAAAUUCUACAUUUUAGGAAGACUUUGGCCAGCUAUUGUGGAAAACAGGACUGUCCUCCUGAGGGACCUCUCAGUGACUUUGACAUUAAAGCUCAUUUUCCUCUUCCCUAAAUCCUGCUGCACCGGACAUCAUUCAAACUGCAAGCUAAUGCAAACUCCUGGCAUCGCUUCAAAGCAGAGCUGGUGUCUGCCUCACUUCCUCUGCCCCCUUUCCUCUGCUCCUUCGCUCCUCUCCAUCUCGAGUAGCGUUGGAGCAAAGACUACAAAAAAAAAGGCAGGACAGAAACUGCUUUCACCUCUAACCUAUAUCACUAGUGAGUAGGUGAGGAAAUGGAAAUAAAACAAAUUGGCUACUGUGGAUUGUCCAGAAUAGAAGCAGUGCCUCUUUUUGGACUGGGGUACACUCAUGGCUUGCUCUAAUAAAAGUUUUUCACUUUUAAUAAUCACUAAAACAGCACAAACUGUGCACAUCUGACAGGAAAGCUGAGCGGAUUAUUAAGGUGGACUGUGAAGCUAAUAAACAAAACCCUAUACAUGCAACUAGUUUUGGAUAUGAAUGAGUGGAGAAGCCAGGACAGGAAGCAAGCAACCACUUGGAUACUCUGCAUCACUGAGCUGAAUGUGAAUGCUGAGAUAUAGCCUUUCAGUAUCAUUAAGUAUUAAUAUUGAUAAUAUAUUUCAUCAAUAAUUCAAUGGUGUUUUAAGUCCAUGCUCAUGUCUGAAAUUCAUUCAGUACUUUAAUGGUCAGUACUGUAGCUAAUUCAGGAAAUCAGUAUAAAGCUUCUUCAGUCCAAAUAUAUUAAACACAACCAGUUAUACUGAUGAAGUAAAUGUUUUAGUUGGUAAACUAAUCAGUAAAAAUGGCAUACAUGGCUGUUCUAUUCGAUUGCUGUUAAUAGUUACUUGCUGCUGCCAGUGUUGGUGUUCUCUCCAUAUUAAAGGUCUAAGUAACUACAUUUUGGGUCUAAUUAUGCUUGGUUGUAUUCAGAUCAGGUUUGACUCUUCAAGUCCCUUUUGGAUUUGAAAAUGAAUUUAUUUACGUUAUUUAUGUCUUUGCCUGUGCUGCUCUUAUUUUAACCACUUUCUAAAAUCUGACCCCGAACAUGGAAGUGCAAUACUAAAUCAGCGGAGUACCCCUUAAAUACACACAUUUCUGAAGCAAGGAGUUAUGAAGAACCAGUGAAACCUGUCAGAUGGGUAUAAAAUUACUGUCACGUAUUGUUUUUACGUUCACAAAGUGUCAACACACCAUGUGCCGUGGUAUAUGGGACAUUAUGUAUGUCAGUAUGACGAAACAUAAAAAAGAAAGUUGUAAUAACGUUGUAAAAGUAAUUUUUUAACUGUACCAGAGCUAACAAUUACAAGUAUGUUCUUGUACACCAUAAAGUCUAGCCAGGAGUGUAGGAUCAAUUGUUUCACCUUUUCAAGUGCUCAUUUCAAGAUUUAAGUCACUUUAAAAGCAUCAUCUAGGUGGAGGGAUACAGGAGCUAAACUGUAAAAAUGGCUCUACGAGAGAUAACAUUUGUCUUUUGUAUGAUUUGUACCUAUUUUAUUGAUCUUUGGAUAUUGAAUGUUUUUUACUGGAGAACAUUCAUUAGUA